CCUACGGGCGGCUGCAGUGGGGAAUAUUGGACAAUGGGGGCAACCCUGAUCCAGCCAUGCCGCGUGUGUGAAGAAGGCCCUCGGGUUGUAAAGCACUUUCAGUGAGGAAGAACGCCUGGUGGUUAAUACCCAUCAGGAAAGACAUCACUCACAGAAGAAGCACCGGCUAACUCCGUGCCAGCAGCCGCGGUAAUACGGAGGGUGCGAGCGUUAAUCGGAAUUACUGGGCGUAAAGCGCGCGUAGGUGGCUUGAUAAGCCGGUUGUGAAAGCCCCGGGCUCAACCUGGGAACGGCAUCCGGAACUGUCAAGCUAGAGUGCAGGAGAGGAAGGUAGAAUUCCCGGUGUAGCGGUGAAAUGCGUAGAGAUCGGGAGGAAUACCAGUGGCGAAGGCGGCCUUCUGGACUGACACUGAAACUGAGGUGCGAAAGCGUGGGUAGCAAACAGGAUUAGAUACCCGAGUAGUC
Molecule: ribosomal RNA, 465 nt
Filed under: Vreelandella stevensii
Lineage: Bacteria; Pseudomonadati; Pseudomonadota; Gammaproteobacteria; Oceanospirillales; Halomonadaceae
Description: partial 16S ribosomal RNA
Rfam family: Bacterial small subunit ribosomal RNA
Source: RNAcentral